GAGCAACGCCAGCCAGAGAAGCUGAACAACAAUAAACUAUCACACCAGCAUGGCCAGUUCAAGUUUUAGCAGUGUUAUACAGUUGACAGACUUGGAUGACUUCAUAACUCCAUCACAAAGUGCAUUAAGACAGCUAAAACACAAAAUGCUAGACAAGUUACAUCUUCAGGAAGUGCCAAAAUCCAAAUUGGGGAUGAUGGCUCUUACACGCAAUUUAACAAGGUGGAAUUCAUAUAAUUUUAUUUUUAGCAGUUUAAUGUACCCAGUUAAUCUAUUUUUAUGUGAGAUGACACCAAUAUUCUGGUCAACCGUAAAGAGUUUGGUUAUGUCACAGGUUUCCAUCAACUAGAUUAUCUAAUUUGAGCAAUUUAUCAAACUCCCAUGAAGGUAGAAAGGAGACCAACACCUCCAAAGAGUAUUCAUUCACCUAAAUUCUGGGCUACGUGCAGUUAGACAAAUUCCAUUAUUAUAGGACAUUUUAGGAUACAUUUUAAUUUAUCUACAUUGAAUUUAAUAUUUUUCUCUUGUAAAAAUAAGUAACAGGUGCAGAUUGGGUUUAUGAUUUGGCAAUUCAUGUAUUAGCUUUCAUAAUUUAAUAAUGGUUUAGCAUACAUUUCUGCUUGAUCUUCAACAGAAAACUGGAAUAAAAAAUAUUACUUUCCAUGUUUUCUUAAGGAAGGAAGACCUGGAAAUUACAAAAAGCACAAAUAACACUUAACGACUGUUUGGCGUGCAGGUGGUUUUAAUGAUGAGCAGAAUCAAAUUGGUAGGUGUAAUAAUACUAUAGUAAUUAUAAUGGUUGUAUAACAUCGGUGGGAGUGUUUUGAUUGGCCAAGAAAACCAUAUGGAGUUCCUGAAGCUAUGCAAAUAAGCCAUUGAGCUAUCAUCACCUAGCAGAUUCUUUCUUAAAAUUGUAGUGGGACUCCCAUGCCAACUUAUUCUUUUAUUUGCAAACAAGUUUCAAAUACCCCCUGAAGAAGCAAGAGCCAAACUUUCAACUCUUUUUAGGCAACUGGCCGCGUCAAAAGUAUUUGAUGUGGAAUCAUUUUCAGACCUGUGUUUAGUUGAGUGUGGCCAGGACUUUGUUCAUCGUUACAGAGAACAAUCAACUAAUUCAACAUCGAUACCCGUACUUGCAUUUGCUUGCCCUGGCUGGAAUGCUUCGCCGACAAAACUCAUGGAAAUUGGAUUUUGUCACAUCUUAGCGAGAUCAAAUCUCCGCAGCAAAUAGCGGGCGUCUUUAUGAUAGAUGUACUGCCCAACGAACUUCAAACGAGUGCCUCUCCUCUGGCUGUCGCCAUGAUUAUGCCAUGCUUCGAUAAAAAAGUAGAGGCUUCGAGAAGUGACUUUUUUCACGACGACCAACAAAGCAAAGAUGUCAACUUUGUUAUAACUCCCGUAGAAAUCGAGCAGAUACUGGAAGAAUUAGCUGUUGAAUUCGUUGACUUAAGUCUAUCUCAAGUUGAUUCUCUGGGUGGUACAAUGGAUACAUUAUGGAGCAUACCGUCUGGAUCUGGUUAAGGAGGUUAUGCAAAACAUGUUCUACGUUUUGCUGCCAAGGAGCUUUACGGCAAGAUACAGGGACAUGGUAAGUUUCAGCCACUAAAAAACUUGGACAUCAGGGAAGCUUUCGUUGAAAAACAUGGCGAGCAAGUUUUAAGUGUGGCUAUUGCCAACGGAUUCUAAAAUAUUCAAAACCUUGUACAAAAAAUGAAGCGAAAGAAACGUACUUAUCAUUAAGUCGAAAUUAUGGCCUGUCCAUCCGGUUGCCUGGUAAGGCUUGCCAAGAGUUAAAGCAUAGAAAAGUCCAAAGGGAAUUUGUGCUUUCUGAAAUGAAAGCCUUCCCUCCUGUUUCAGACAAGGUCAGAGCAGCCGUUUAACGACUAUACGACAUGGAACGUCCAUGCUUUACGUUCCUGGAAGUCUAGUCUCAGGAGUCUGUACCAGUCCUUCUAGAAUGCUAGGAUUGGUGAUAUAGGAAUACACCCUCUUUUUAUGAGUAAAACGCCCCUUCAACCAAUAGGAAUCGCUUUAAGAGAAUUCGUCUGGCAGAUAACCAUUGCAGCACGUAUUGCUGUUCCAGUCGCUCCAGAGGUGUGUUGCAUUGGUUGUUCUUGGCUGUUCUCGAAAUUGGGUUGCUGCUUCUCAGUCUCUGAUAAAUGCUCAGAUGGGAUGCUUUGCUUUCAAAUUUUCUGCUCCGCUACUCUUGUCAGAAAUGGAUAAAUAGUAGCAUAGUAGAACUUUAGAUAGCAAAGCCUGUCAUGCGGGCAUUGUAGUGACUUCCAUUUUAUUAUUUCUGGCGGACAUUUUGUUUUAAAUCGGUGUAAGUGUGCAUGUGUUAAGUAAAAAGUCAAAUUUUA
Molecule: long non-coding RNA, 2360 nt
Organism: Daphnia carinata
Lineage: Eukaryota; Metazoa; Arthropoda; Branchiopoda; Diplostraca; Daphniidae
Exons: 6
Source: RefSeq, a predicted model, not a curated record